Molecule: non-coding RNA, 296 nt
Organism: Pelobates cultripes (western spadefoot toad)
Lineage: Eukaryota; Metazoa; Chordata; Amphibia; Anura; Pelobatidae
Source: the annotation of a GenBank genome assembly
GAUAUUUUAUUGCCAGGCAAGGUUUAGACAGAACAGCGGGUUAACAAGUGGAAAAACAUACUCCUUUACUGUUCCUUUAAAUUGAUGCAUCUCCAUGUUAAAUACCAAAAGGGACAUUUGGAGAAAGUAAAUCAAAAUUUGCAGAUGGAAAAAGAUUUUUUUCCCCCUAAAUAUUCGUGCACCAUUCCAUUCUAUUAAUACUCUGCUAAUCGUUCUGUCAUCGUGCGGACAGUCCAAAUACUAUCAGGCAGAGAAAAUGUUCUCCUCCAAUUUGGGCAAAUAUCACUUGAUGGCUG